GUUUGCGGAAGAAUUAAAG
This 19-nucleotide small RNA is filed under the name Arabidopsis thaliana (thale cress). RNAcentral's name for it is "ATSL123880". The record is from RNAcentral. Lineage: Eukaryota; Viridiplantae; Streptophyta; Magnoliopsida; Brassicales; Brassicaceae.